RNAcentral lists this long non-coding RNA (1080 nucleotides) under Homo sapiens (human). RNAcentral describes it as "non-protein coding LINC00460:10". Lineage: Eukaryota; Metazoa; Chordata; Mammalia; Primates; Hominidae. The record is from RNAcentral.
AGAAAUCCUCCAGCCCUGUUAGAAAUGCCUCAGCCAGGGGGACUCAUCUCCUCAAACCUGGGGGACCGAGACCUAUGAGAGGUCACAGCAUGAGGCAGGACAUCGGAGGUACCCAGACAUUGUUAUGAAACUCCGCAUGUGCCCCUGGUGGACGCUGCUGGACCCAGCAUGCACACUUCUCGGCUAAGAGUCACCCUGGAUGAACCACCAUUGCCAGCGGGGAGCAUGUUGCAGCUUUCCCACGCAGUGGAUGAGAACGAAGGUUACGACCAUUGUGUGGGAGGCGUCUGUGUAGCAAUUGCUGGAAUCACUUGUGGCAUUGUAGAAAGACUGAGCGUGGGAAAGAAGACGCAUUCUGAAGUCACCCCGAUUUAUGUUAAAUUAUCACCUUGACUACUGCUAUAGAACGAAUGUUUAUGUCCCCCACCCAAAUUCGUAUGCUAAGACCUAAUAGCCAAUAAGAUAGUAUUAAUAGAUGGGGCCUUUGGGAGGUGAGUGGCUCAUGAGGGCAGAGUCCUCAAAACCAGAUAAGUGCCCGAAUAAAAGGGGCCCCAGAGAGAUCCCUUGCACCGUCUACCAUGUGAAGUGUAGAACACAGCGAGAAGGCCACCUAUGAGCCAGAACGUGGGCCCUCACCAGAACCCAGUUGUGCUGGCACCCUGAUCCUGGACUUCCAGCCUCCAAAAUGACGACAAAGAAGUUUGUUUUUCCUGAGCCAUCCACUUCAAAGUAUUCUGUCAUAGCUCCCCAAAUAGACUAAGACAUCUACUUAACCUUGGUCAAACGUUUAACCUUGGAGUCCACGCCUCUGAAAUGGUGACAAUAACACUGUGUAUUUCCUACUUUAUGAUCAGGAUUAAUAAAUGUAAUUUAUUAAUCAGAAAUUAGUAAUUUCUGAUUAUUAAUUCUAUGGUGCUUGAUACUUGAUUGAGGCUUAUUUAAUAUUUGGAUCUCUUUUAAUUUUUUUCUUUUUUGCUCUUUCUUUCUGCUUUUCCUCUUCCCCUUUUCCUAUUGAAAUAGAAUGCAGAGGAUAAAGCAAGCAAACAAAAAAACUUCCAGAAGAAUCACAGAGUUUUAGAC